RNAcentral lists this microRNA precursor (196 nucleotides) under Oryza glumipatula. RNAcentral describes it as "MIR812 microRNA precursor family". It matches the Rfam family "MIR812 microRNA precursor family". Lineage: Eukaryota; Viridiplantae; Streptophyta; Magnoliopsida; Poales; Poaceae. The record is from Rfam by way of RNAcentral.
AAAAAGUCAAACCUUGGAUUUCCGUGUCCAACUUUAAUUGUCCGUCUUAUAUGAAAUUUUUUUAUAAUUCGUAUUUUCAUUGUUGUUAGAUAAUAAAACAUGAUUAAUAUUUUAUGCGUGACUUGUAUUUUUAAUUUUUUUCAUAAUUUUUUUAAAUAAGACGGACGGUCAAACAUUGGACACGGAAACCAGGGCU